CCUACGGGUGGCAGCAGUGAGGAAUAUUGGUCAAUGGCCGGAAGGCUGAACCAGCCAUGCCGCGUGAAGGUCAGUGCCCUAUGGGCGUUAAACUUCUUUUGUGCGGGAGCAAUAAUGGUCACGUGUGGCAAUACGAGAGUACCGUACGAAUAAGCAUCGGGUAACACCGUGCUAGCAGCCGGGGUAAUACGGGGGAUGCAAGCGUUAUCCGGAUUUAUGGGGUUUAAAGGGUGAGGAGGCUGUGAGGUAAGUCAGCGGUGAAAUGCCCCCGGUCAACGGGGUGAGGUGCCAUUGAUACUGCCUGGCUGGAAUGCGGAUGCCGUGGGAGGAAUGUGUGGUGUAGCGGUGAAAUGCAUAGAUAUCACACAGAACACCGAUUGCGAAGGCAUCUCACGAAUCCGCGAUUGACGCUGAUGCACGAAAGCGUGGGUAUCAAACAGGAUUAGAUACCCCUGUAGUC
This 460-nucleotide ribosomal RNA is filed under the name uncultured bacterium. Its description in RNAcentral is "partial 16S ribosomal RNA". It matches the Rfam family "Bacterial small subunit ribosomal RNA", at positions 338 to 795 of the family's 1533-position model. The record is from RNAcentral.